GCCGGGCAUGGUGGCGUGUGCCUGUAAUCCCAGCUUCUUGGGAGGCUGAGGCAGGAGAAUUGCUUGAACCAUGGAGGUGGAGGUUGCAGUGAGCUGAGAUCGCGCCAUUGCACUCUAGCCUAGGUGACAGAGCAGACAACAUCUCGAAAGAAAAAAAACAGACAGAAUCUUGCUCUAUCACCCAGGUUGGAGUUCAGAGGUGUGAACUUGGCUCACUGGAACCUCCACCUCCCAGGUUCAAGUGAUUCUCCUGCCUCA
This 258-nucleotide small RNA is filed under the name Pongo abelii (Sumatran orangutan). The record is from RNAcentral. Lineage: Eukaryota; Metazoa; Chordata; Mammalia; Primates; Hominidae.